This 440-nucleotide ribosomal RNA is filed under the name Tylos punctatus. RNAcentral's name for it is "partial 16S large subunit ribosomal RNA". It matches the Rfam family "Archaeal large subunit ribosomal RNA", at positions 1993 to 2653 of the family's 2987-position model. The record is from RNAcentral. Lineage: Eukaryota; Metazoa; Arthropoda; Malacostraca; Isopoda; Tylidae.
AUGAGAAUUAAAUGGCCGCAGUACCCUGACUGUGCUAAGGUAGCAUAAUAAUUUGCCUUUUAAUUAAAGGCUAGAAUGAAGGAUUUGACGAAAGAUUAACUGUCUUAGCUUAUUAUUAAAAAAUUAACUUAGAAGUUAAAAGGCUUCUAUUUACUAAAGGGACGAUAAGACCCUAUAAAGCUUUAUUUAAAAAUUUCUAUUUUUGUUAAGAAAAAAAAUACAAAUCAUAAAUUUUAUUGGGGAGAUAGAUAAACAAACAUUAUCAAUUACAACGUUCUUAACGAAACUUAUAAAACGUUUUUAAAAACCUUAUAACAAGUUACUUUAGGGAUAACAGCAUAAUUUCUUUUUAGAGUUCCUAUCGACAAAGAAGAUUAUGACCUCGAUGUUGAAUUGAGUUGCUCCUUUUAAGCAGAUUUAAAAGGCAGGAGUCUGUUCGA